AGCAUGUGGCUUAUUCGACGCAACGCGAAGAACCUUACCAAGGCUUGACAUACACCGGAAAGCAUCAAAGAUGGCGCCCCCCUUGUGGUCGGUGUACAGGUGGUGCAUGGCUGUCGUCAGCUCGUGUCGUGAGAUGUUGGGUUAAGUCCCGCAACGAGCGCAACCCUUGUUCUGUGUUGCCAGCAUGCCCUUCGGGGUGAUGGGGACUCACAGGAGACUGCCGGGGUCA
Molecule: ribosomal RNA, 229 nt
Filed under: uncultured bacterium
Lineage: Bacteria
Description: partial 16S ribosomal RNA
Rfam family: Bacterial small subunit ribosomal RNA
Source: RNAcentral